CUGUUCCUUUAACACAUAGGGUGAAUAAUUAUGUUUUUGAAUCAUGAAGUUGCUCUGCAGAAAAAAUUAGUGGUGGGCAAAGCAGAGAGUAAAUAGGCACUGACAAUGUCCUUUCUCCAUUUGCAGCUUACUGUACUGCUUCAAGACUCUGGAGCAAAAAGUGGUUUAUAAUAUUACAUAUUUAUAUUUAAAUUACAUCUGGGUUACUAAACUAAAAAGUGAUGGCAGGCAGCAGCAGUUGGUUCAAUACUUGGCUGUAAGCAGAAAAGGGCUCUACUUCUUUUACCUUCCCCCAUUAUCACAGGCUCUCACUGUUCCAUGGGACAACACAAAAUGUGUUUAUCUGCCCCAUGUCACUACCACUCCAUAGCUUGCAGGCCACCAGCAGUAUGUGGGGAGACCUCUAACUAUCCACUGAAAUUCGUAACAGGAAUGUGGAGCCUAAAUGUUUCAUUGGCUGAGUUUUGUUCCUGUAACAAUACUUUGAGUGAACUUGUCCUUCCUUACUCCUUCCACCAAGCAAACAUUUGACCUUUUACCAUGGACCAUAAACAAAGAGUUUGCAUUUAUAAAUGAUCCAUCUUUCAGGAAAAAUAUAUUCCCCUUGAGAUCCUGA
Molecule: long non-coding RNA, 616 nt
Organism: Oxyura jamaicensis (ruddy duck)
Lineage: Eukaryota; Metazoa; Chordata; Aves; Anseriformes; Anatidae
Exons: 3
Source: RefSeq, a predicted model, not a curated record